Molecule: ribosomal RNA, 405 nt
Filed under: uncultured Bdellovibrio sp.
Lineage: Bacteria; Pseudomonadati; Bdellovibrionota; Bdellovibrionia; Bdellovibrionales; Pseudobdellovibrionaceae
Description: bacterial SSU rRNA
Rfam family: Bacterial small subunit ribosomal RNA
Source: RNAcentral
UAGGGAAUAUUGCGCAAUGGGGGAAACCCUGACGCAGCGACGCCGCGUGAGUGAUGAAGGCCUUAGGGUCGUAAAGCUCUGUUGUACGGGAAGAAAAAAAUGACGGUACCGUAUAAGAAAGGAUCGGCUAACUUCGUGCCAGCAGCCGCGGUAAUACGAGGGAUCCUAGCGUUGUUCGGAAUCAUUGGGCGUAAAGCGUGUGUAGGCGGCCAUGUAAGUCAGUUGUGAAAGCCCCGGGCUCAACCCGGGAAGUGCUUCUGAUACUGCGUGGCUUGAAUGUUGGAGAGGUGAGUGGAAUUCCAGGUGUAGUGGUGAAAUACGUAGAUAUCUGGAGGAACACCGGUGGCGAAGGCGGCUCACUGGCCAUACAUUGACGCUGAGACACGAAAGCGUGGGGAUCAAACA